RNAcentral lists this small nuclear RNA (184 nucleotides) under Macaca fascicularis (crab-eating macaque). Its description in RNAcentral is "U2 spliceosomal RNA (ENSMFAG00000048057.1)". It matches the Rfam family "U2 spliceosomal RNA". Rfam says of the family: U2 is a small nuclear RNA (snRNA) component of the spliceosome (involved in pre-mRNA splicing). Complementary binding between U2 snRNA (in an area lying towards the 5' end but 3' to hairpin I) and the branchpoint sequence (BPS) of the intron results the bulging out of an unpaired adenosine, on the BPS, which initiates a nucleophilic attack at the intronic 5' splice site, thus starting the first of two transesterification reactions that mediate splicing. Lineage: Eukaryota; Metazoa; Chordata; Mammalia; Primates; Cercopithecidae. The record is from Rfam by way of RNAcentral.
AGCGCUUCUCGGCCUUUGGCUAAGAUCAAGUGUAGUACUGUUCUUAUCAGUUUAAUAUCUGCGUCCCUCUAUCCGAGGACAAUAUAUUAAAUGGAUUUUGGAGCAGGGAGAUGGAAUAGGAGCUUGCUCCGUCCACUCCCACAUCGACCUGGUAUUGCAGUACCUCCAGAACGGUGCACCCCUC